GACGAACGCUGGCGGCGUGCCUAACACAUGCAAGUCGAGCGGAGACAGAUUGUAGCUUGCUAUGAACUGUUUUAGCGGCGGACGGGUGAGUAACGCGUGAGCAACCUUUCUCUCAGUGGGGGAAUAACCCAGGGAAACUUGUACUAAUACCGCAUGAGACCACACUACCGCAUGGUAGAGGGGUCAAAGAUUAAUCGCUGAGAGGUGGGCUCGCGUCUGAUUAGAUAGUUGGUGGGGUAACGGCCUACCAAGUCGACGAUCAGUAGCCGACCUGAGAGGGUGAUCGGCCACAUUGGGACUGAGACACGGCCCAA
Molecule: ribosomal RNA, 314 nt
Filed under: uncultured bacterium
Lineage: Bacteria
Description: bacterial SSU rRNA
Rfam family: Bacterial small subunit ribosomal RNA
Source: RNAcentral